RNAcentral lists this ribosomal RNA (253 nucleotides) under uncultured bacterium. RNAcentral describes it as "partial 16S ribosomal RNA". It matches the Rfam family "Bacterial small subunit ribosomal RNA", at positions 524 to 776 of the family's 1533-position model. The record is from RNAcentral.
GACAGAGGUGCCAAGCGUUAGGCGGAAUCACUGGGCUUAAAGCGUGUGUAGGCGGUUCGUUAAGUACCUUGUGAAAUCCCACGGCUCAACCGUGGAACUGCUGGGUGUACUGGCGGUCUUGAGCCACCUAGGGGCAACUGGAACAAGCGGUGGAGCGGUGAAAUGCGUAGAUAUGUGGAGGAACACCGAUGGCGAAGGCAGCCCCCUGGGCUAGUACUGACGCUCAUGCACGAAAGCGUGGGGAGCAAACAGG